AGAGUUUGAUCCUGGCUCAGGAUGAACGCUGGCGGCGUGCUUAACACAUGCAAGUCGAACGAAGCACCUUGAUUUGAUUCUUCGGAUGAAGAUCUUGGUGACUGAGUGGCGGACGGGUGAGUAACGCGUGGGUAACCUGCCUCAUACAGGGGGAUAACAGUUAGAAAUGACUGCUAAUACCGCAUAAGACCACAGCACCGCAUGGUGCAGGGGUAAAAACUCCGGUGGUAUGAGAUGGACCCGCGUCUGAUUAGGUAGUUGGUGGGGUAACGGCCUACCAAGCCGACGAUCAGUAGCCGACCUGAGAGGGUGACCGGCCACAUUGGGACUGAGACACGGCCCAAACUCCUACGGGAGGCAGCAGUGGGGAAUAUUGCACAAUGGGGGAAACCCUGAUGCAGCGACGCCGCGUGAGCGAUGAAGUAUUUCGGUAUGUAAAGCUCUAUCAGCAGGGAAGAAAAUGACGGUACCUGACUAAGAAGCACCGGCUAAAUACGUGCCAGCAGCCGCGGUAAUACGUAUGGUGCAAGCGUUAUCCGGAUUUACUGGGUGUAAAGGGAGCGUAGACGGAGUGGCAAGUCUGAUGUGAAAACCCGGGGCUCAACCCCGGGACUGCAUUGGAAACUGUCAAUCUAGAGUACCGGAGAGGUAAGCGGAAUUCCUAGUGUAGCGGUGAAAUGCGUAGAUAUUAGGAGGAACACCAGUGGCGAAGGCGGCUUACUGGACGGUAACUGACGUUGAGGCUCGAAAGCGUGGGGAGCAAACAGGAUUAGAUACCCUGGUAGUCCACGCCGUAAACGAUGACUACUAGGUGUCGGGCAGCAAAGCUGUUCGGUGCCGCAGCAAACACAAUAAGUAAUCCACCUGGGGAGUACGACCGCAAGGUUGAAACUCAAAGGAAUUGACGGGGGCCCGCACAAGCAGUGGAGUAUGUGGUUUAAUUCGACGCAACGCGAAGAACCUUACCAAGUCUUGACAUCCUGUGACAGACGUAGAAAUACGUUCUUCCUUCGAGACACAGAGACAGGUGGUGCAUGGUUGUCGUCAGCUCGUGUCGUGAGAUGUUGGGUUAAGUCCCGCAACGAGCGCAACCCUUAUGGUCAGUUACUACGCAAGAGGACUCUGGCCAGACUGCCGUUGACAAAACGGAGGAAGGUGGGGAUGACGUCAAAUCAUCAUGCCCUUUAUGACUUGGGCUACACACGUACUACAAUGGCGUUAAACAAAGAGAAGCAAGACCGCGAGGUGGAGCAAAACUCAGAAACAACGUCCCAGUUCGGACUGCAGGCUGCAACUCGCCUGCACGAAGUCGGAAUUGCUAGUAAUCGUGAUCAGCAUGCCACGGUGAAUACGUUCCCGGGCCUUGUACACACCGCCCGUCACACCAUGAGAGCCGGGGGGACCCGAAGUCGGUAGUCUAACCGCAAGGAGGACGCCGCCGAAGGUAAAACUGGUGAUUGGGGUGAAGUCGUAACAAGGUA
RNAcentral lists this ribosomal RNA (1481 nucleotides) under metagenome. RNAcentral's name for it is "bacterial SSU rRNA". It matches the Rfam family "Bacterial small subunit ribosomal RNA". The record is from RNAcentral.